AUCUAGCUGACGAGUCCUAAAAUAGAACGAAACGUGCUUCCUGCAU
RNAcentral lists this non-coding RNA (46 nucleotides) under Schistosoma margrebowiei. The record is from RNAcentral. Lineage: Eukaryota; Metazoa; Platyhelminthes; Trematoda; Strigeidida; Schistosomatidae.